UGGAAUCUUGUCCAUGCUCUUGAGAUUGUGCUGGGAGACACAGCGAACCUUCUUGCAACGGCACGUAUUGAUGUGCCAUCCUGGAGGAGUUGGACCACUUGUGCAGCCUCUGCAGCAACACCAGUGGCAUCAACCUGGAA
This is a long non-coding RNA of Periophthalmus magnuspinnatus, 140 nucleotides long. RefSeq lists it as uncharacterized. The record is from RefSeq and is a predicted model, not a curated record. NCBI's taxonomy places the organism in Eukaryota, Metazoa, Chordata, Actinopteri, Gobiiformes, Gobiidae. The transcript has 3 exons.